CGACUCUCCCUUUUCUUAAGUCUGAUGUAAAAUACAUCUCAGAAGAGUUAGGUCGGAUUAAAACUAAAAAGACUUGAGUGCAGGAGAGGAAGUGGAAUUCCAUGUGUAGCGGUGAAAUGCGUAGAUAUAUGGAGGAACACCGGAGGCGAAAGCGGCUCUCUGGCCUGUAACUGACACUUAGGCUCAAAAGCUUGGGAACAAACGGGAUUAGAUACCCUGGUAGUCCACGCCUUAAAACAUCAGUGCUAGCUGUAGGGAGCUAUAAUUCUCUCUAGCGCACUAACGCAUUAAGCACUCCUCCUGGGGAGUACACCCCAAGGUUGAAACUGAAAGGAAUUGAGGGGGGCCCGCACAAGCGGUGGAGCAUGUGGUUUAAUUGGAAGCAACGCGAAUAACCUUACCAGGUCUUGACAUACUCUUUGCUAUCCUUAAGAUAAGGAAGUUCCUUCAAAGACACGGGAUACAGGUGGUGCAUGGUUGUCGUCAGCUCGUGUCGUGAGAUGUUGGGUUAAGUCCCGCAACGAGCGCAACCCUUAUUACUAGUUGCCAUCAUUAAGUUGGGCACUCUAGUGAGACUGCCGGUGAUAAACCGGAGAAGGUGGGGAUGACUCAAAUCAUCAUGCCCCUUAUGACCUGGGCUACACACGUGCUACAAUGGAUGGUACAACGAGUCGCCAACCCGCGAGGGUGCGCUAAUCUCUUAAAACCAUUCUCAGUUCGGAUUGCAGGCUGCAACUCGCCUGCAUGAAGUCGGAAUCGCUAGUAAUCGCGGAUCAGCACGCCGCGGUGAAUACGUUCCCGGGCCUUGUACACACCGCCCGUCACACCACGGAAGUUGGGAGUACCCAAAGUAGGUUGCCUAACCGCAAGGAGGGCGCUUCCUAAGGUAAGACCGAUGACUGGGGUGAAGUCUAACAAG
This 919-nucleotide ribosomal RNA is filed under the name Lactococcus sp. LC149. RNAcentral's name for it is "bacterial SSU rRNA". It matches the Rfam family "Bacterial small subunit ribosomal RNA", at positions 570 to 1495 of the family's 1533-position model. The record is from RNAcentral. Lineage: Bacteria; Bacillati; Bacillota; Bacilli; Lactobacillales; Streptococcaceae.